Molecule: ribosomal RNA, 253 nt
Filed under: uncultured bacterium
Lineage: Bacteria
Description: partial 16S ribosomal RNA
Rfam family: Bacterial small subunit ribosomal RNA
Source: RNAcentral
UACGUAGGGGGCAAGCGUUGUCCGGAAUCAUUGGGCGUAAAGCGCGUGUAGGCGGUUCGGUAAGUCUGCUGUGAAAGUCCAGGGCUCAACCCUGGGAUGCCGGUGGAUACUGUCGAACUAGAGUACGGAAGAGGCGAGUGGAAUUCCCGGUGUAGCGGUGAAAUGCGCAGAUAUCAGGAGGAACACCAAUUGCGAAGGCAGCUCGCUGGGACGUUACUGACGCUGAGACGCGAAAGCGUGGGGAGCAAACAGG